UAAUGAGGGUCUGCAGCAGGGACGUGCACACAUAGGAGUGAAAGGGGGCUGGAGCCCCUGCCCUUUUCCUCACCUGCCCCUCUAGUGCCCUCACAAAAGGAGGUGCAGACUCAGGCUGACAAGUGAAGUAAAAAGGAUCCAUUGCUGGAGAUUUGUAUGUGGUUUAAUGGAGGGUGCUGUGCCCUCCCUGCAGCAAGGGGGCGCCACUCACCCUGUCAUUAUCUGCCAUUUCUUUGCUUCUCUCCACACGGAGGAGACAGGAGCAGAGGAGGCAGAGGGAGGCCCCGCCCACAACAUGUCCGGCCACAAACCAGUCUAAGCAGCCCUUACUAGGAUCAGAAUGCGUUGGCAUAGUGAGGAGACGUCUGGGCAUCAAGUUCUGCAGAGAGAAGAUUUAGCUGGAACAAAUCCUGGCGUGAGGGGCCGGUGCUGGACACUGUGUAGGGACGCGGGAAUGCAAAGUCAUACACAUGACUGUGACUGAUGCACUAUCUCCAGGACAUGGAGUAGCAUUUCCGGACCUACAGCAAGACGUUGGAUGAAGGCAUAGCCCCAGAAAUAACACUGGUCCUGUUCAUCAGUGAGGGGCCGGUGCUGGACACUGUGUAGGGACACGGGAAUGCAAAGUCAUGCACAUGACUGUGACUGAUGCACUAUUUCCAGGACAUGGAGUAGCAUUUUGGGACCUACAGCAAGACGUUGGAUGAAGGCACAGGCCUAGGAAUCAUGCACAUACACAGAAACAUUUGCCCAAAUUAUAGAGGUAACCUCCUUUAGUAUGCCCAGAGGAAGGGCCAUACAGUAGCCAUGGAUUCCCUACAGGUUUCCUCCCCUCUGGAGGUUUUUCCUGUCCUGAGUAUUAGUUACUGUACGCUCUUUGUGAGUGAUGGGAGGUUACAAAAAGUCCCCUACACAAACAUUUUAAUAAAUAAUAAAUAAAGUUCCCCUUUUUUAAAACUG
This is a long non-coding RNA of Hyla sarda, 960 nucleotides long. RefSeq lists it as uncharacterized. The transcript has 5 exons. The record is from RefSeq and is a predicted model, not a curated record. NCBI's taxonomy places the organism in Eukaryota, Metazoa, Chordata, Amphibia, Anura, Hylidae.